UACAGAGGGUGCAAGCGUUGUUCGGAAUUAUUGGGCGUAAAGGGUGCGUAGGCGGUGCGGUAAGUCUGUUGUGAAAUCUCCCGGCUUAACUGGGAGGGUGCAGCGGAAACUAGAGUGCUAGAGGGUGGGAGAGGUAAGCGGAAUUCCUGGUGUAGCGGUGAAAUGCGUAGAGAUCGGGAGGAACACCAGAGGCGAAGGCGGCGACCUGGACAGCAACUGACACUCAACUGCGAAAGCGUGGGGAGCAAACAGG
This 253-nucleotide ribosomal RNA is filed under the name uncultured bacterium. Its description in RNAcentral is "partial 16S ribosomal RNA". It matches the Rfam family "Bacterial small subunit ribosomal RNA", at positions 524 to 776 of the family's 1533-position model. The record is from RNAcentral.